This 198-nucleotide ribosomal RNA is filed under the name uncultured bacterium. Its description in RNAcentral is "partial 16S ribosomal RNA". It matches the Rfam family "Bacterial small subunit ribosomal RNA", at positions 335 to 525 of the family's 1533-position model. The record is from RNAcentral.
ACUCCUAUGGGAGGCAGCAGUGGGGAAUAUUGCACAAUGGGCGCAAGCCUGAUGCAGCAAUGCCGCGUGUGUGAAGAAGGCCUGCGGGUUGUAAAGCACUUUCAAUAGGGAAGAAAAGCUUGGGAUUAAUACUCUCAAGUGUUGACAUUAUCUAUACAAGAAGCACCGGCUAACUCCGUGCCAGCAGCCGCGGUAAUA